UACGAAGGUCCCAAGCGUUAUCCGGAUUUAUUGGGUUUAAAGGGUGCGUAGGCGGGUUAUUAAGUCAGUGGUGAAAGCUCCAUGCCUAACAUGGAAAUUGCCAUUGAUACUGAUGAUCUUGAGUACAUUUGAAGUGGGCGGAAUGCGUCAUGUAGCGGUGAAAUGCUUAGAUAUGACACAGAACACCGAUUGCGUAGGCAGCUCACUAAACUGUAACUGACGCUGAGGCACGAAAGCGUGGGGAGCAAACAGG
Molecule: ribosomal RNA, 253 nt
Filed under: uncultured bacterium
Lineage: Bacteria
Description: partial 16S ribosomal RNA
Rfam family: Bacterial small subunit ribosomal RNA
Source: RNAcentral